UGACUUUGAACUAUAGGUUAUACCUAUAGAAAUAAAAAUUUAUAUUCUCAAAUAUUUCUAUAUAUAAUUUGGGCCUUCUAUUAACUUUGGAUUAUGAAUAAAACAUAUCUGGAAUUCUUAUAUAUAUAUUGGGCCUUAUUUAUUUACCCCAAUUUAACUUUGAAUAUCAGCCACGUAUCAUCCCACCUUUCUGCAUCAACCACUUGUUUUGUGUUUAUUUCUCCACGCCAUUUCAUACUUGAGCACCAAGCAAUUAUCUCUAUACAUAUUUUUUUUGAUUUUCUUCAACAUUUCAUUUUAUCCGAAAAUUUGUCAAACCAGCAGAAAAACUUUACCCAGCUUCAUUCAUCUACAGAACUUCAUUAGACUUCAUUAGGUAAUUUCAUUAUUUCUGCAAAUUUUCAUUCUCCUGCAGUUCACUUCUACAUCCCAUAUUUUGUGCAGAGACAAUUUUUAAUAAUCUUUAAACUCUCACAACUCAUUUUACUCUCAAAUUCCAAAAUCCCCAACAUCUUCAAUUCAAGAGCAAACACACUGCACGAGAUAAUUUAUGUUUAUUUUUUAGUAACAAUUCAUCUUUUUGCAUUAAUAAUCAAAAGAAAAAGAAAGAAUAAAAUGAAAUUAGAAACAUAGAAAUAGAGUGGAGAUGGGGAGUUGUUGGUGCACGGAUGCUGGACAGCCGGUGAAGCGAGAGAGCUGGCUAGUAGGCGUCGCCAGGCGCUGCCGCGCCACGGCGACCGGCGAAGAUGGGCAGGGAGGCGGCGACGGUGGUUGGGCGGCACCAGAUCUAGAAAAGGGGAGGCGGCGGCUGGGCUGUGCUGCUGUCGGCCAGGAGGGAAAUAGACGGUAAAGGCGACACCGGGCAGGAGACGGUGGCGGCAGGGGUCGCCGGAGAAGAGGGGCGCAGCUGCGGCUGGUGCGGUGAGGAGAAGGGCAGGGGAGGAGGAAGAGGGCGAGAAGUGAGGGGUGAGAAGGAGAUAGGAAAAAGGGGGAAGAGAAAGGAGGCAGAGCCGCCGGCCUCCGGCGGCGGCGUGCCGUCUGGUGGCAGCGGCAGGGGGCCAAGAAGAGGAGGAGAAGGAUGGGGGGUGGUCGGUUGAGAGAGUGGGAGUGAGGAGGCUGCGUGAAGUGGUGUUUUGGAGUUGUGUGGGUAUGAUUAAAUUAAGUGGGAAGGGAAGUAUGGGCUUGGGCCUAGGAUGGUUGAUAGUUAAUGGGCUCAAUUUAUUAAAUGAUUGGGCUAUAAUUUGAUUAGCUAUUGCACUAAUUUAUUUUAUCAAAUGGACUUGCAUUUGCAUAUCAUUUUAUAAAGGACAUCAUUCAUAUUAUAUUUGGACUUGAAUUAUUAAUUCAAAUUUAGUUUUAAUUAAAUAUUGGGGUCAAAUCUUUUUAUAAAAGUUCUUUUAUAAUUUAUUAGACCAAUGAUUUCAAAUGAUUUUAUGAUUUAAACUACUACUACUAUUAUUAUUUUAAAGUUCAAUUAGGCUCUUAUGUAUUAUUAUUUGAAUUCAUCUGACUAGGUGCGGCGCGACUAGGACGUUACUUUUAAUUGAUUUACUCAAGUUAGCUUUCAAGUUCAAGUUGAAGUUCAAGUUCAAAGUUUCAGGUGUGGGAUUUAUUUCAGUACAUGCUGUGGUUAAUGGUUGUCCAUUUUAAUAGUAUGUGUUUGCCAUAUGUGUUGUAAAUUCAGUUAUAUCGCUAGGGGCCCGCUCAAUGGGUCCAGGACUUCACAGUCCUUGGUAUGCCACAAUGCGAUUUCAUGUUACAGUUAUGGUUGCAACCUAUUCGCCAGGGGCCUGCUCAAUGGGUCCAGGACUUUAAAGUCCUUGGUAUGCCACCGCGCGAAUUUCAGUUAUCAGUACAGUGCAGUGCGUAUGUGUUGACCAUUUUAUUAACGUGGACAAUUAUUGCAUGUUUCCCACACUGAGUAUAUUUCAUAUGCUCAUCCCAUAUUUAACAUUUUCAGGUAACUAAGGUUGGAGACGCGUGGAGGAUUGAAUGGGCGCGUCAAGUAUAUAUAUAUUUUGAAAAAUAUGAUGGCGUAGUUACAUCUAGCCUUUUUCUUUGUAUAGUUUCAAAGUCUAAAACUACUUUUGAGAUUUUAAUAUAACUUAUCAGGUUUAAUGUUAUCAUAUUAGCUUCCUAGCAUGGCUGGCCUUCUUUUCAAGUUAUUUCAAGUAUUUUAUUUAAAAAGUUAUUUCUUGAAAAUAAUCCAAAUCUUUAUGUUAUUUCCGCUGUCAAAAAUUAUUUAAAUUUAUAUUUAACACUUUAAUUAGAUUAGGGUGUUACAG
Molecule: long non-coding RNA, 2285 nt
Filed under: Salvia miltiorrhiza (redroot sage)
Lineage: Eukaryota; Viridiplantae; Streptophyta; Magnoliopsida; Lamiales; Lamiaceae
Description: long non-coding RNA (SMIL_LNC002836)
Source: RNAcentral